UUGCAAAGCUCACAAACUACUUUCUAUGUAUUGCCUUACUUCAGUCAACAAAAUCAUUAAGUUGGGUUUUUAUUUGUAAAAUUGCAUUUAUGAAUGUGAAAUUUGUUUAAAAAAUACACGUAAUGUAGGGUAUAAGAAAAAUAAGAAUGAGCCCAGGGAUAAGUCACUGUGAAUCUCGCGAGAGUUUUGCAGUACGACGGUUACCUUCGAGACACGAGCACGUGCUGGGCGUGUUGUCAAACGUACAGGUGCGCACUUCACUCUCUCCGCCUGUUCGCGUCAGAUUUUUGGCAGAAAAUUGCGGAAAUGCUACGUGGAUAAACUAUUACAAGCAAUCAGCGUUUCAUUACACCUAUUGAUGUUUGUUUAUGAGGAUUCCUCGGUCCUCUUCCUUGAAAUCGAAAAAAAGCAACCGAGGAAAUGUCUUUGGAAGGAAGCAUGUGUCAUCUAACCUGCCUCUGAAACACAAUGGGAACUCCCUGCCUUCUGUGGGACACCAGAGAACAAACUGCACACUGCCAAAAGCGUAGCUACAAAGACGACAACAGAAAUUAGGUCAAUACAGAGGCAUCUCCUGCUGAUCCUGCUAUAGAACAACUAGAUGUAGACAGAACUGUAAUAGUGUCUUGGGUGUUAUUAGAUUACAUUGUUGUGUGUAAUGGGGGAGUGUAUGUUGGACCAAUACGGUGAAGAUGGUUUUCAAAGUUGUGAAGGGUUUGACGAAUGGUCCACGUUCAGUUCUGCAGACUGGACAGAACCCCAGCACGAUGAAAAAGUGUUUUCAGACUUGGGCGGAUUCCAGGACAAAACCAGGAAAGAGGAAAUAUCAGCCAUACCUGUGACAGAAACAGGAACUUUCGAGUUUCCUGAAAACGCUGAAAAUGGCAACAAGGUGAAUCCCUGGUUCAUUUUUAAUGUCUGCUUUCAAGUUGAGGAGGAAAAGAAAAAUCCUGUCAUGAUGGAAAUCCCUACAUUGUCCCAGCUACAACAGAACACAUUAGACAAGCCCUCUCAGGCUGCAGCAAUAUCGAGCCAAGCUGCACAUUUCUGGUGUCAUCUACAAUCUGGGUCACAAAUUCUAAGACUGUCAGGUCCCAGACCCAAACUACACUCCCAUGAAGGACUGCUCAAAUCACUCCAGCUCAGACACCCCGAUGCAAGCGUCAACUCACAGACCACAACUCUUUCUGAUCUUGAACUAGAAAAUCCAGAAGACCCUCCUGGAGCUCUUAUUCAAACCAAGUUGACACCAUCAUCACAUUGUCGAAAUGCUCCAGGAUUCUUUUAUCAGAUCUCAAGCCAGUGGCUCAACCAGUACAGCAUGAACCUGCGGCCCAACCAGCACAAGAAAGAUCCUCUGCAAUAAACAAGACAUGUACACACACACACACACACACACACAGUACCACUCACUACCAGUCAUACCGACACACACUACUUCAAAAGAAAAGUUCACCCAAUAGAGAACAUUUUGUCAUAAUUUACUCAACCUCAUGUUCUGUUCUAAAUGCACUGAAAUUAACUACUAGUACAUUCUUCAAACUUUUUGAGAAAGAGUUUAGAAGUAAAUGAUGACAAUGUUCAUUUUUGGGUAAACUGUCUCUUUAAGCAAAGUACACACUGUUGCCUGUUUUCCUUAAUGUGUACACAAACAAGCACAGGUAAGGUCUUACACACACUUUCACAAAUAUAUCCUGCUUGACAAAAGCACAGGGACGUACUACUAUGCACACUCUCAGGAAAUAUUUCCUAACUUACUUGACAUACACACUUACUACUAACAUAAAGAAGAGGCUGUUAACAUGAGCGAAAGAACAGAACUAACAUGUGCCUAAUUAGAACAAAAUCACUGUAAACCUCAAGUACGGGAUGUUAACACAGCCAUAUACUUAUUUAUAUAUUCAACGGUCUGUUGCUGCCUAAGCUCAUUGCUUACUGUUCUUAAAGCUGUGUUAUUUUUAUUGUGAACUGACAUCUGAAAUGUCUGAAUGUAUUUGGUAUAUUUAUAUUGGAAAUAUUUAAACAAGAAUACAUGAAUAUACAGCUCUAAUAGUUUGUCCUGCACUUUAGAUCAGUUUGCCUUUUAUUAUUGUUUUUUAAAGGACUGAAAAAUCUAACUCAAAUGUUUAAUAAAAAAGAGAAGUUUAAAGCUCUUAA
Ctenopharyngodon idella (grass carp) is the source of this 2157-nucleotide long non-coding RNA. RefSeq lists it as uncharacterized. The record is from RefSeq and is a predicted model, not a curated record. The transcript has 6 exons. Lineage: Eukaryota; Metazoa; Chordata; Actinopteri; Cypriniformes; Xenocyprididae.